This 370-nucleotide ribosomal RNA is filed under the name uncultured eukaryote. Its description in RNAcentral is "partial 18S ribosomal RNA". It matches the Rfam family "Eukaryotic small subunit ribosomal RNA", at positions 592 to 976 of the family's 1831-position model. The record is from RNAcentral.
CAAUAGCGUAUAUUAAAGUUGUUGCAGUUAAAAAGCUCGUAGUUGGAUUUCUGGUCGGAAGCUCCUGUCCUCUGAUGAGCGUACAAGUGCGUCCUACCAUCCUUCUGUUAACCUUUAAGGCUUUCGCGGCUUUCUAGGGGCUCAGAUAUUUUACCUUGAGAAAAUUAGAGUGUUUCAGGCAGGCUAGCGCCGGAAUACAUUAGCAUGGAAUAAUGGAAUAGGACUUUUGCCUCUUCUGUUGGUCAUGAGGCUCGAGUAAUGAUUAAUAGGGAUAGUUGGGGGCAUUAGUACUUAACUGUCAGAGGUGAAAUUCUUGGAUUUACGCAAGACAAACAGCUGCGAAAGCGUCUGCCAAGGAUGUUUUCAUUAA